CAAUAGCGUAUAUUAAAGUUGUUGCGGUUAAAAAGCUCGUAGUUGGAUUUCUGCCGAGGACGUCCGGUCCGCCCUCUGGGUGUGUACAUGGUACGGCCUGGGCAUCUUCUUGGAAAACGUAUCUGCACUUGACUGUGUGGUGCGGUAUCCAGGACUUUUACUUUGAGGAAAUUAGAGUGUUUCAAGCAGGCCUACGCCUUGAAUACAUUAGCAUGGAAUAAUAAGAUAGGACCUCGGUUCUAUUUUGUUGGUUUCUAGAGCUGAGGUAAUGAUUAAUAGGGAUAGUUGGGGGCAUUCGUAUUUAACCGUCAGAGGUGAAAUUCUUGGAUUUGUUAAAGACGGACUACUGCGAAAGCAUUUGCCAAGGAUGUUUUCAUUGA
This 380-nucleotide ribosomal RNA is filed under the name uncultured eukaryote. RNAcentral's name for it is "partial 18S ribosomal RNA". It matches the Rfam family "Eukaryotic small subunit ribosomal RNA", at positions 592 to 976 of the family's 1831-position model. The record is from RNAcentral.